GACGAACGCUGGCGGCGUGCUUAACACAUGCAAGUCGAACGGAAAGGCCCUGCUUUUGUGGGGUGCUCGAGUGGCGAACGGGUGAGUAACACGUGAGUAACCUGCCCUUGACUUUGGGAUAACUUCAGGAAACUGGGGCUAAUACCGGAUAGGAGCUCCUGCUGCAUGGUGGGGGUUGGACAGUUUCGGCGGUUGGGGAUGGACUCGCGGCUUAUCAGCUUGUUGGUGGGGUAGUGGCUUACCAAGGCUUUGACGGGUAGCCGGCCUGAGAGGGUGACCGGCCACAUUGGGACUGAGAUACGGCCCAGACUCCUACGGGAGGCAGCAGUGGGGAAUAUUGCACAAUGGGCGGAACCCUGAUGCAGCAACGCCGCGUGCGGGAUGACGGCCUUCGGGUUGUAAACCGCUUUCGCCUGUGACGAAGCGUGAGUGACGGUAAUGGGUAAAGAAGCACCGGCUAACUACGUG
Molecule: ribosomal RNA, 468 nt
Filed under: uncultured bacterium
Lineage: Bacteria
Description: partial 16S ribosomal RNA
Rfam family: Bacterial small subunit ribosomal RNA
Source: RNAcentral